Oncorhynchus tshawytscha (Chinook salmon) is the source of this 424-nucleotide long non-coding RNA. The record is from Ensembl. NCBI's taxonomy places the organism in Eukaryota, Metazoa, Chordata, Actinopteri, Salmoniformes, Salmonidae.
CAGGGUCCUGCGGUGUUAAUGUAUCAGGGUCCUGCGGUGUUAAUGUAUCAGGGUCCUGCGGUGUUAAUGUAUCAGGGUCCUGCGGUGUGAAUGUAUCAGGGUCUGGAGGUGUGAACGUAUCAGGGUCUGGAGGUGUGAACGUAUCAGGGUCUGGAGGUGUGAACGUAUCAGGGUCUGGAGGUGUGAACGUAUCAGGGUCUGUCGGUGUGAACGUAUCAGGGUCUGUCGGUGUGAACGUAUCAGGGUCUGGAGGUGUUAACGUAUCAGGGUCUCGCGUUGUGAACGUAUCAGGGUCUGGAGGUGUGAACGUAUCAGGGUCUGGCGGUGUGAACGUAUCAGGGGUCUGGCGGUGUGAACGUAUCAGGGUCUGGAGGUGUUAACGUAUCAGGGUCUCGCGUUGUGAACGUAUCAGGGUCUGGAGGUG